RNAcentral lists this ribosomal RNA (618 nucleotides) under uncultured bacterium. RNAcentral describes it as "bacterial SSU rRNA". It matches the Rfam family "Bacterial small subunit ribosomal RNA", at positions 202 to 842 of the family's 1533-position model. The record is from RNAcentral.
CAAAGGUGAGCCAGUACAGGAUGGACCCGCGUCUGAUUAGCUAGUUGGUAAGGUAACGGCUUACCAAGGCGACGAUCAGUAGCCGACCUGAGAGGGUGAUCGGCCACAUUGGAACUGAGACACGGUCCAAACUCCUACGGGAGGCAGCAGUGGGGAAUAUUGCACAAUGGGCGAAAGCCUGAUGCAGCAACGCCGCGUGAGUGAUGAAGGCCUUCGGGUCGUAAAACUCUGUCCUCAAGGAAGAUAAUGACGGUACUUGAGGAGGAAGCCCCGGCUAACCACGUGCCAGCAGCCGCGGUAAUACGUAGGGGGCUAGCGUUAUCCGGAUUUACUGGGCGUAAAGGGUGCGUAGGCGGUCUUUCAAGUCAGGAGUGAAAGGCUACGGCUCAACCGUAGUAAGCUCUUGAAACUGGGAGACUUGAGUGCAGGAGAGGAGAGUGGAAUUCCUAGUGUAGCGGUGAAAUGCGUAGAUAUUAGGAGGAACACCAGUUGCGAAGGCGGCUCUCUGGACUGUAACUGACGCUGAGGCACGAAAGCGUGGGGAGCAAACAGGAUUAGAUACCCUGGUAGUCCACGCUGUAAACGAUGAGUACUAGGUGUCGGGGGUUACCCCCUUCG